This 68-nucleotide small nucleolar RNA is filed under the name Salvator merianae (Argentine black and white tegu). RNAcentral's name for it is "Small nucleolar RNA SNORD52 (ENSSMRG00000016186.1)". The record is from RNAcentral. Lineage: Eukaryota; Metazoa; Chordata; Lepidosauria; Squamata; Teiidae.
UGCUGUGAUGAAUUUGCUCGGACUAGAGUCUCUGACUCUUUCAGUGAUGUUUUUCUAAGCCCUGAGCU